This 270-nucleotide ribosomal RNA is filed under the name uncultured archaeon. RNAcentral describes it as "partial 16S ribosomal RNA". It matches the Rfam family "Archaeal small subunit ribosomal RNA", at positions 477 to 747 of the family's 1478-position model. The record is from RNAcentral.
CAGCACCUCAAGUGGUCAGGAUGAUUAUUGGGCCUAAAGCAUCCGUAGCCGGCGCUGUAAGUUUUCGGUUAAAUCUGUACGCUCAACGUACAGGCUGCCGGGAAUACUGCAGCGCUAGGGAGUGGGAGAGGUAGACGGUACUCGGUAGGAAGGGGUAAAAUCCUUUGAUCUAUUGAUGACCACCUGUGGCGAAGGCGGUCUACCAGAACACGUCCGACGGUGAGGGAUGAAAGCUGGGGGCGCAAAACGGAUUAGAGACCCGAGUAGUCC